AGGACGAACGCUGGCGGCGUGCUUAACACAUGCAAGUCGAACGGAAAGGCCCUUCGGGGUACUCGAGUGGCGAACGGGUGAGUAACACGUGGGUGAUCUGCCCUGCACUUUGGGAUAAGCCUGGGAAACUGGGUCUAAUACCGAAUAUACCCUGCUGGUCGCAUGGCCUGGUGGGGGAAAGCUUUUGCGGUGUGGGAUGGGCCCGCGGCCUAUCAGCUUGUUGGUGGGGUGAUGGCCUACCAAGGCGACGACGGGUAGCCGGCCUGAGAGGGUGUCCGGCCACACUGGGACUGAGAUACGGCCCAGACUCCUACGGGAGGCAGCAGUGGGGAAUAUUGCACAAUGGGCGCAAGCCUGAUGCAGCGACGCCGCGUGAGGGACGACGGCCUUCGGGUUGUAAACCUCUUUCAGUAGGGACGAAGCGCGAGUGACGGUACUACAGAAGAAGGACCGGCCAACUACGCGCCAGCAGCCGC
RNAcentral lists this ribosomal RNA (476 nucleotides) under uncultured bacterium. Its description in RNAcentral is "SSU rRNA". It matches the Rfam family "Bacterial small subunit ribosomal RNA", at positions 26 to 518 of the family's 1533-position model. The record is from RNAcentral.